AUCGCUUCUCGGCCUUUUGGCUAAGAUCAAGUGUAGUAUCUUUUAUGAAAAGCUUAAGCUUUACCAAAAGCUUAAGCAACAAAACUAAAACAUUGAUAAACUAGAAAUCAAU
RNAcentral lists this small nuclear RNA (112 nucleotides) under Cervus hanglu yarkandensis (Yarkand deer). RNAcentral describes it as "U2 spliceosomal RNA (ENSCHYG00000025241.1)". It matches the Rfam family "U2 spliceosomal RNA". From Rfam's summary of the family: U2 is a small nuclear RNA (snRNA) component of the spliceosome (involved in pre-mRNA splicing). Complementary binding between U2 snRNA (in an area lying towards the 5' end but 3' to hairpin I) and the branchpoint sequence (BPS) of the intron results the bulging out of an unpaired adenosine, on the BPS, which initiates a nucleophilic attack at the intronic 5' splice site, thus starting the first of two transesterification reactions that mediate splicing. Lineage: Eukaryota; Metazoa; Chordata; Mammalia; Artiodactyla; Cervidae. The record is from Rfam by way of RNAcentral.